RNAcentral lists this ribosomal RNA (497 nucleotides) under uncultured bacterium. RNAcentral describes it as "partial 16S ribosomal RNA". It matches the Rfam family "Bacterial small subunit ribosomal RNA", at positions 28 to 507 of the family's 1533-position model. The record is from RNAcentral.
GAUGAACGCUGGCGGCGUGCCUAAUACAUGCAAGUCGAGCGAACGGACGAGAAGCUUGCUUCUCUGAUGUUAGCGGCGGACGGGUGAGUAACACGUGGAUAACCUACCUAUAAGACUGGGAUAACUUCGGGAAACCGUAGCUAAUACCGGAUAAUAUUUUGAACCGCAUGGUUCAAAAGUGAAAGACGGUCUUGCUGUCACUUAUAGAUGGAUCCGCGCUGCAUUAGCUAGUUGGUAAGGUAACGGCUUACCAAGGCAACGAUGCAUAGCCGACCUGAGAGGGUGAUCGGCCACACUGGAACUGAGACACGGUCCAGACUCCUACGGGAGGCGGCAGUAGGGAAUCUUCCGCAAAGGGCGAAAGCCUGACGGAGCAACGCCGCGUGAGUGAUGAAGGUCUUCGGAUCGUAAAACUCUGUUAUUAGGGAAGAACAUAUGUGUAAGUAACUGUGCACAUCUUGACGGUACCUAAUCAGAAAGCCACGGCUAACUACGUG